AUGGUCCAACCCGCCAUUCCCGGUCCUGUCAUUCCUCCGGAAUUCCCAUGGGAAGAGGAACGGUUUCCUUGGGAUCUGGAAGGGUUGGGAUGGUCCAAUCCCACCGUUCCCUGUCAUCCCUCCGGAAUUCCCGUGGGAAGAGGAACGGUUUCUUCGGGAAUUCCGGAAGGGUUGGGAUGGUCCAACCCCACCAUUCCCGGUCCUGUCAUCGCUCCGGAAUUCCCGUGGGAAGAGGAACGGUUUCCUCGGGAUCUGGAAGGGUUGGGAUGGUCCAACCCCACCAUUCCCUGUCCUUCCAUCCCUCCGGAAUUCCCGUGGGAAGAGGAACGGAUUCCUCGGGAUCUGGAAGGGUUGGGAAGGUCCAAUCCCACCAUUCCCGGUCCUGUCAUCGCUCCGGAAUUCCCGUGGGAAGAGGAACGGUUUCCUCGGGAAUUAAAAGGGUUGGGAUGGUCCAACCCCGCCAUUCCCUGUCCUGUCAUCCCUCCGGAAUUCCCGUGGGAAGAGGAACGGUUUCCUCGGGAAUUAAAAGGGUUGGGAUGGUCCAAUCCCACCAUUCCCUGUCAUCCCUCCGGAAUUCCCGUGGGAAGAGGAACGGAUUCCUCGGGAAUUCCGGAAGGGUUGGGAUGGUCCAACCCUGCCAUUCCCUGUCAUGGCUCCGGAAUUCCCGUGGGAAGAGGAACGGUUUCCUGGGAUCUGGAAGGGUUGGGAUGGUCCAACCCCGCUGUGCCAUGUCCUGUCCUGUCAUUGCUCCGGAAUUCCCGCGGGAAUCGGAACGGUUUCCUCGGGAACUGGAAGGGUUGGGAUGGCCCAAUCCCACCAUUCCCUGUCCUUCCUCUGGAAUUCCCGUGGGAAGAGGAACGGUUUCUUCGGGAAUUAAAAGGUUUGGGAUGGUCCAAUCCCACCAUUCCCUGUCCUUCCAUCCCUCCGGAAUUCCCGUGGGAAGAGGAACGGUUUCCUCGGGAACUGGAAGGGUUGGGAUGGUCCAAUCCCGCCAUUCCCUGUCCUUCCUCCGGAAUUCCCGUGGGAAGAGGAACGGUUUCCUGGGAACUGGAAGGGUUGGGAUGGUCCAACCCUGAAAUUCCCUGUCAUUUUUCCGGAAUUCCCGUGGGAAGAGGAACGGAUUCCUCGGGAAUUAAAAGGGUUGGGAUGGUCCAACCCCACCAUUCCCUGUCCUUCCUGUCAUCCCUCCGGAAUUCCCAUGGGAAGAGGAACGGUUUCCUCGGGAAUUAA
This 1230-nucleotide long non-coding RNA is filed under the name Taeniopygia guttata (zebra finch). RNAcentral's name for it is "lncRNA (ENSTGUG00000026985.1)". The record is from RNAcentral. Lineage: Eukaryota; Metazoa; Chordata; Aves; Passeriformes; Estrildidae.